GAGUUUGAUCCUGGCUCAGAACGAACGCUGGCGGCGUGCUUAACACAUGCAAGUCGAACGUGAUCCAGAGCUUGCUCUGGUGAAAGUGGCGCACGGGUGAGUAACGCGUGGAUAACCUGCCCUGGUAUCUGGGAUAACAUCUCGAAAGGGGUGCUAAUACCGGAUAAGCCUACGGACUCCUCGGAGUCUGCAGGAAAAGGUGGCCUCUAUUUAUAAGCUACCGUAUCAGGAUGGGUCCGCGUACCAUUAGCUAGUUGGUGGGGUAAUGGCCUACCAAGGCGACGAUGGUUAGCUGGUCUGAGAGGAUGAUCAGCCAUACUGGAACUGAGACACGGUCCAGACUCCUACGGGAGGCAGCAGUGGGGAAUUUUGCGCAAUGGGGGAAACCCUGACGCAGCAACGCCGCGUGAGUGAUGAAGGCUUUCGGGUCGUAAAGCUCUGUCAGAGGGGAAGAAAUGGAAACGGUUAAUACCCGUUUUCCUUGACGGUACCCUCAAAGGAAGCACCGGCUAACUCCGUGCCAGCAGCCGCGGUAAUACC
Molecule: ribosomal RNA, 540 nt
Filed under: uncultured Geobacter sp.
Lineage: Bacteria; Pseudomonadati; Thermodesulfobacteriota; Desulfuromonadia; Geobacterales; Geobacteraceae
Also listed under: 1 other name
Description: bacterial SSU rRNA
Rfam family: Bacterial small subunit ribosomal RNA
Source: RNAcentral